Non-coding RNA from Triticum urartu, 2008 nucleotides. NCBI's taxonomy places the organism in Eukaryota, Viridiplantae, Streptophyta, Magnoliopsida, Poales, Poaceae. The record is from RefSeq and is a predicted model, not a curated record.
CUCCGUCAAGUCAUCCAUAAGAAAACCGCCCCUUGCACGCACGAUACCCACUCGCCCAAAUGCCACCGUCCUCGCUUGCCCACCCUCUACACGGCCGGCCGGCCGCCGCCGCCCCACACCACCGCUCCUCCGCUCGGCCGCUGCCCCACAGAUGCGAUCGCCGUUGCCGUCCGCAGCUCCUUCGCUAGGCUGCUGCCGCAUGGAUGCGGUCGCCGCCCGUCGUUCGGCUGAUGUGUGAUGUCCAGUCACCGCUUCCUCUGCUACGACGGGCCGCCGCCGACCUCCUCGGCCGAAAACCAUGGCCAUGGACCAAGCUCUGCCAGACCUUCUCUCGCGACUUCCGGCCUUCCUCUCGACCAGAUCGACAACGGGAUGCCCAGAUCUGACACGACGCCGUUCGUUUCCGCCUUGCCUAGCCGCACUGAGCAUCCGAACCACCUCCCCAGACAGCGCCGCCAUCGUCGCCAAGGCGGCGCCGGUCUCGGCCACGGCGCAGGAGGUGCCGUCGUCACCCUCCAUGUCGUCAUCUGGCUGGGCCGUCGAGGAUCUCCUGCAGUUCUCCCUACGGGCACCGUCAAGGGCACUGAUCGUCUAUCACAAAUCAAUCAGGGAUAAAAAAAGUGAGGUGCAACUCAAGCGAAUAAACAGUAGAAGAAUGAAGAAGUAAGCAGGGAGUGGAUGUAGAUCCUCCAAGGGAACAUCAAGGUAAGGCAUUAAACUGAAUUUGUGGCACUACUGAAUAUAUGAACUGGCUUGUUAGGACCAACUUAUCUGAAACUAAUGUGUGAAAAGCUGGACAGGGCGAAAUAAUUUGUAAGUAUAGUACAAAACUGUACGGAAAAUCUUAUGGCAAUUUUCCUAUUGAUGCUUCUAGGUACUGGUUGUGCCCACCUGUUGUGGGAUUGCUUCUACCUAAACCAUGUGGAUUACUCUUCGUACAAUUUUCUUGCAGUUAGUGUCGGGAACUCUGUGUACUUGUGAAAUGCAUGCAGCAACAAGGUCUGCCAACCAUUGUCAUUGUUGCAAGAUUACUUUUUUGAAAGUUGUAAAGAGAACGAGAGAUAGAACUAAGUAAGUUGCUCUAGCUCUCACCAAGCUAUGUCAUUGAGCAGGUCACUAAGCUUUGCUAUUCGGGUGCAUAUGACACUAAUUAUCCAGUGGGUUGGGCACAACAUGGCACUCAGCAGCCCGUAGGAAAGAAAUGGUUCUCUAAGUUGGGAUGGUAUUGUGAUUAAUUGUUGGCUUGUUGCCAUCAGAUUUACUUACAUGGUCAGCUUCCAGUGUUCAACUAUUAUAUGUAGCACCGCAGAUGCAUAUAUUACUAUUCAGUGUAUACUAAAGUUUUACUUUGCAGAAGAAAUGCAUGGCACAGAUGAUGUUACUUGCUGUUCUAGGUGUGGUGAUCUCAACAUUUUUGCUUGGCGCUGCUAUAAAGCUUACUUUUCCGUAUGAUUGGAACUGGAAAACAUCAUUCUUGUUCGGCGGACGCUCAGUGCAACCGAUCAUGUUACUAUGAUUGCUCUUCUAAAAGACCUAGGCGCAAGCAAAAAGCUCAGUACGAUAAUCGAAGGAGAAUCCUUAAUGAACGAUAGUGUUGCUCUGGGCCUUGCAUUUGGAAUCGCAUCUCUACUAUGGCUGGGCUUUAUUUUCGAUGGUACAAUCAUACAGAUUUCACUAACACUUGCAGUCAGAUAUAUGGCUUUCUUCACUGUAAGAUAAUCAGAUAACGGACAUAUCAAGGCUCUUAUAUUUCUAUUUUUAUCUCUAGAAGGACAUGAUUUGCUUAGUGUUUGGAAAUGGUUUUUAGCUUGAGUAAUAGAAUGGUUGUCAAGCAACCCUUUUUGCAACACUGCGAUGCUGUUUUAAUGGCUUGUGAUGGCAAUCCAGGGUCAUUUCUGGAUGCAUUCAUGUGUGCCAAUGAGGUUUCCAUGUACUGAUGAUGUAAUAUUAGAUUUUUUAUCUUGUCAAUUUCUUACCCUGGCAGUACGACUAUGUACUCAGACUACUA